RNAcentral lists this ribosomal RNA (497 nucleotides) under uncultured bacterium. RNAcentral describes it as "partial 16S ribosomal RNA". It matches the Rfam family "Bacterial small subunit ribosomal RNA", at positions 28 to 507 of the family's 1533-position model. The record is from RNAcentral.
GAUGAACGCUGGCGGCGUGCCUAAUACAUGCAAGUCGAGCGAACGGACGAGAAGCUUGCUUCUCUGAUGUUAGCGGCGGACGGGUGAGUAACACGUGGAUAACCUACCUCUAAGACUGGGAUAACUUCGGGAAACCGUAGCUAAUACCGGAUAAUAUUUUGAACCGCAUGGUUCAAAAGUGAAAGACGGUCUUGCUGUCACUUAUAGAUGGAUCCGCGCUGCAUUAGCUAGUUGGUAAGGUAACGGCUUACCAAGGCAACGAUGCAUAGCCGACCUGAGAGGGUGAUCGGCCACACUGGAACUGAGACACGGUCCAGACUCCUACGGGAGGCAGCAGUAGGGAAUAUUCCGCAAUGGGCGAAAGCCUGACGGAGCAACGCCGCGUGAGUGAUGAAGGCCUUCGGAUCGUAAAACUCUGUUAUUAGGGAAGAACAUAUGUGUAAGUAACUGUGCACAUCUUGACGGUACCUAAUCAGAAAGCCACGGCUAACUACGUG